GGCGCGAUGGCUGAGUGGUCAAGCAGCGGACUGCAAAUCCGUGCACGCCGGUUCGAUUCCGGCUCGCGCCUCCA
Molecule: transfer RNA, 74 nt
Filed under: Inquilinus limosus
Lineage: Bacteria; Pseudomonadati; Pseudomonadota; Alphaproteobacteria; Rhodospirillales; Rhodospirillaceae
Also listed under: 9 other names
Description: tRNA-Cys
Rfam family: tRNA
About the family: Transfer RNA (tRNA) molecules are approximately 80 nucleotides in length. Their secondary structure includes four short double-helical elements and three loops (D, anti-codon, and T loops). Further hydrogen bonds mediate the characteristic L-shaped molecular structure. tRNAs have two regions of fundamental functional importance: the anti-codon, which is responsible for specific mRNA codon recognition, and the 3' end, to which the tRNAs corresponding amino acid is attached (by aminoacyl-tRNA synthetases). tRNAs cope with the degeneracy of the genetic code in two manners: having more than one tRNA (with a specific anti-codon) for a particular amino acid; and 'wobble' base-pairing, i.e. permitting non-standard base-pairing at the 3rd anti-codon position.
Source: RNAcentral